This is a non-coding RNA of Salvia hispanica, 3712 nucleotides long. Lineage: Eukaryota; Viridiplantae; Streptophyta; Magnoliopsida; Lamiales; Lamiaceae. The record is from RefSeq and is a predicted model, not a curated record.
AUGAAGACCUUAUUUAAAUGUGGAAUUUUGAAUUCGAAUUCAUACAAAAUUUUGUCGAACUCUCAAUUUCUGUCACCUCGAGUUGUUCAGCUCAUCUGCAUUUCGAAUUUUUCAUCAAAAUCUCAUAAAACUUCGAAGAAAAUAGCCAAAGAUGGUGAUCCAAAUAACCCCGGGGAUCCACUUUUCGGUGAGAUCCUCAAAAUUAUGGAUAGUGAAGGCAAUGAAUUUGAAAGAAACGCUCCUUUUGUGUUUUCAGCAAUGAAAGAUGUAAACUUUGAAGGAAAUGUGGCAAAUUCGGGAGCAUAUCCGUGUAGGCUGCAAGGUGUUUGUGGAAAUGCCGAUGAGAAAAAUGAUGAGUCUUUGGCUUUGGAUGAAAUCGAGGCGGUAGAUGUUGGUCCGGUUGUUUUUAAAGUGAUUGGGAUUGUUAGGUGCGAGAACAGCUCGCUUUCCAUGGAGGAACGGUUGGAAAAGGCUGAUUGUAGAUAUAAUGAAGAGGUUGUUGUCAGUGUGCUGAAGAAGUGUUUCAAAGUUCCCAAAUUGGGACUAAAGUUCUUCAAUUGGGUGAAAAGCAGAGAAGGGUUUCGACACACGACCAACACCUUCAAUGCGAUGAUAAAUGUAGCCGGGGAAGCUGAGGAGUUUGGGUUGGUUGAGGAGUUGGUUGAGGAAAUGGGGAAGAGUGCUUGUGAGAAGGAUUUGAGGACGUGGACGAUUCUUGUGUCGUGCUAUGGCAGUAGAAAACGGAUUGGGAAAGCAUUGGUGGCGUUCCAGGAGAUGAAGAGAGCUGGUAUCGAGCCUGAUGCAGUUGCAUACAGAACAAUGCUGCGGACGCUCUGCAAUGCUAGAAAGGCUGAUAUUGCAUUGGAGUACUACGAGGAUAUGGUUCGUAAUGAGGUGAAAUUAGAUGUAGAUUUGUGUAAACAGUUGAUGAAAUGCUUUGCAUUGUGUGGAAAUAUUGAUGCUGCUCGCUUGGUUGGCGAAAACAUGAUCAAAUCUGAGAUUUCCGAAUCUCAAGUUUAUGGUAUGAUGUUAAAAAGUUUUUGUAUAGCAGGGAAGAUCACUGAAUCAUUGGAGUUGAUUCGUGAUCUGGAGAAUAAAGACAUCUCACUUGAUAUGGGGAUGUUCGAGGCGUUGGUGAAAGGGCUUUGUAGCAGAGAUAGGAUUGAAGACGCGAUGGAGAUACUUGAGAUACUGAAGAAGAGGAAUGUAUUUGAUCAGAACAUAUACGGAAUACUUAUUAGUGCGUAUUUGGGGAGAAAUCGAGUUUCUGAGGCAUUCGGUCUUUUUCAAGAGGCGAAAGGGUAUGGAAAUGUUUUGAUCUCCACAUACACGAAAUUGAUGCAACACUUUUUCUGGAAGGGUGAAUUUCAUAAGGGUUUGGAGAUGUACAAUGAGAUGCUUCGGCUGGGAUUGAGAUUGGAUAGUGUGGCUAUAACUGCUGUUGCAGCUGGUUAUGUUCAGCAAAAUCGGAUUUCUGAGGCAUUGGAAGUGUUUAAGAGUAUGUUUGAGAUGGGAAUUAGGCCUUCAUCAAAAUCGUAUUUGGUUUUCAUUAAGGAGAUGUGUAAGAUAUGCAAAGCAGAUGAGGUAGUCGAGAUUUUGAAUGAAAUGCAGGUCUGCAAACUAAGUAACGUAGACGAGAUAUUGAGUGAGGUUCGAUCUUAUCUUGAGAAGAAAGGAAAUGUAGAGAAGGUGAAUGCUAUUAAUAGGUUUUGUACGUCUUUUCAUAGAAGCGUAAACAAAAAAAAUGCUGAUCAGUGCAAUGAACCAGAAAAGUUGGAUCCGAAUCCAAUGCUGCAGAGAAGGCCGGCUCGCUUUGAGGAGUCUGAAACGAGACAAGAUGGCUACCCUGAUGCACAAGAAGUUCGCCUAAUUUUAUCAUCCUCGGAUGAUUGGUGCUCUAUACAAGAGAAGCUAGAGAGACUCGGUUUCCAGUUUACACCUGACCUUGUUGUGGAAAUUUUACGAAGUUCCAGCCUUGAUAUCGGUAUUGCCUUGAAGUUCUUUGCGUGGAUCGGGAAACAGCCUAAUUACAGUCACAAUGAGAAAUCAUACAACAUGGCCAUGAAAAUUGCUGGUCAGGGGAAAAACUUUAAGGAGAUGAAAAGCUUGUUUUAUGAGAUGAGGAGACGGGGCUACUUGAUAACAGCUGACUCGUGGACAAUCAUGAUAAUGCAGUAUGGUCGAACAGGGUUGACGGAUCUGGCUUUGAGUUGUUUUAAAGAGAUGAAGCUGAGCACGUGUAAACCAACCAAAAGCACAUAUUUCUCUAUGAUAGCCUCGCUUUGUGGAAAGAAGGGCCGCAAAGUUGAUGAGGCGAUCCAGAUAUACGAGGAAAUGAUGCAAGCGGGGCUUGUUCCGGGUAAAGAAUUGGUUGAGGCUUAUGUUGGCUGUUUAUGUGAAGUCAAUAGAUUGUCGGAUGCCAGAAGAUGCGUUGAUUCUUUACACAAAUUUGGUUUCUCGAUUCCACUGUCGUACUCCUUGUAUGUCCGGGCCCUUUGUCGUGCAGGGAAGCUGGACGAAGCUUUAGCCCUAGUCGAUGAAGCUGGCUGUGAAAAGCAUCUCCUGCAGCAGUAUACCUAUGGUAGUCUUGUUCAUGGCUUGUUACGACAGGGGCGGGCAGAGGAGGCGUUGGAAAAGAUAAAUUGCAUGAAACAGCUCGGCUUUCACCCUACUGUUCAUGUGUAUACAUCGUUGAUUGUUCAUUUCUUUAAAGAUAGAGACACAAACAGAGCUUUGGCUACUCUUGAAGAAAUGAAAGAACAUGGCUGUCAGCCUACUGUAGUCACAUAUUCAGCUCUGUUGUGCGGUUACGUGAGAUUGGGGAAGGUUAGUGAGGCUUGGGAUGUUUUCCACCGUCUGAAAAGGGAAGGCCCGUCGCCUGAUUUCAAGACUUAUUCUAUGUUCAUAGAUUGCCUCUGUGGAACAGGCAAGUCAGAGGAUGCUUUCACACUUAUCCCCGAAAUGCUGCGUGAUGGGAUUGUCCCGAGUACUGUCAACUUUCGAACGAUUAUGUAUGGACUUAAUAGAGAGGGAAAACCAAAUCUUGCACAGGCUGUUCUAAAGAAGAAGUUGGAUCUCAAAAGAAGAAGACAAGUGGUAACAUAGUUCUACUCCUGUCAAUAUGUUCAACACUUCAGCUAGAGUAUGAAACUUUCUGAAUCAAGCACCGUCUGUGCUUUGAGUGCACAACACUAUCCUGUCUGAAAAGGGAUGUGACUUGAUACCUAAAUUGCCAUAAACGGCUUGAUCCCACAUCAGGGGCAGUGACUGAAUGAAGUCGAGGAGCACAAUGAACGUUGCUCAAGAGCAAGCACUUCCAAAGGCAGGCCUCUCUCAGCAAGCAGCUCAGCAUAGUUCACAUAGCAGUGCUUCAGAGACGGGGCAAUUAUAAUACUCGGUGAUGACAUCAAAGAUCCUUCGCUGCUCUAUGAAAUAGAGAGUACUUCCAUUCCAUAAUAUCACAGGUGGUUGAAAUCAGUUGAGCAACCAAAGGUCUGUCCUAACAUUGCAACUGUAGUUAAGAAGUAUCUCUUAAAGAAGCUCUUUCAAUCUCGUUUAUAGCACGGUCUAUGAAUGUUUUAGUUGGAAGAAGAAAGAUUUGUAGAGUUUUAGUUCCUUACUUAAGUCAGUCAAUCUCUUAAAGGAUUAGAUAUUAUCAGCAUUCUUCUUGAUGAUAUGAGUGUAGAUCUGUCCCAUUUUUGUUUUCUAGUUU